UACGAAGGGGGCUAGCGUUGCUCGGAAUCACUGGGCGUAAAGGGUGCGUAGGCGGGUCUUUAAGUCAGGGGUGAAAUCCUGGAGCUCAACUCCAGAACUGCCUUUGAUACUGAAGAUCUUGAGUCCGGGAGAGGUGAGUGGAACUGCGAGUGUAGAGGUGAAAUUCGUAGAUACUCGCAAGAACACCAGUGGCGAAGGCGGCUCACUGGCCCGGUACUGACGCUGAGGCACGAAAGCGUGGGGAGCAAACAGG
RNAcentral lists this ribosomal RNA (253 nucleotides) under uncultured bacterium. Its description in RNAcentral is "partial 16S ribosomal RNA". It matches the Rfam family "Bacterial small subunit ribosomal RNA", at positions 524 to 776 of the family's 1533-position model. The record is from RNAcentral.